AGAGUUUGAUCAUGGCUCAGGACGAACGCUGGCGGCACGCUUAAAACAUGCAAGUCGAACGUGAAGCCCGGGCUUGCCCGGGUGGAAAGUGGCGAACGGGUGCGUAACACGUGAGCAACCUGCCCCGAAGACCGGGAUAACACCGGGAAACCGGUGCUAAUACCGGAUGCCUUCACCACGUCGCAUGGCGAGGUGAAGAAAUGGAUUCCGCUUCGGGAUGGGCUCGCGGCCUAUCAGCUUGUUGGUGGGGUAACGGCCUACCAAGGCAACGACGGGUAGCUGGUCUGAGAGGAUGUCCAGCCACACUGGGACUGAGACACGGCCCAGACUCCUACGGGAGGCAGCAGUUAGGAAUCUUGCGCAAUGGGCGAAAGCCUGACGCAGCGAUGCCGCGUGCGGGAUGAAGGCCUUCGGGUCGUAAACCGCUUUCAGCAGGGACGAUUGUGACGGUACCUGCAGAAGAAGCCCCGGCCAACUACGUGCCAGCAGCCGCGGUA
RNAcentral lists this ribosomal RNA (497 nucleotides) under uncultured Actinomycetes bacterium. Its description in RNAcentral is "bacterial SSU rRNA". It matches the Rfam family "Bacterial small subunit ribosomal RNA", at positions 8 to 522 of the family's 1533-position model. The record is from RNAcentral. Lineage: Bacteria; Bacillati; Actinomycetota; Actinomycetes.